This 13122-nucleotide long non-coding RNA is filed under the name Homo sapiens (human). Its description in RNAcentral is "HSALNT0069895". The record is from RNAcentral. Lineage: Eukaryota; Metazoa; Chordata; Mammalia; Primates; Hominidae.
UUUUCCCCGGAGAUUAGAUCUUUCAUCAACCAUAUUCUACAGGGAACAGCAAACUCGAGACCUUUUCACACCUGUAUGUAAACAUCAGCAAGAACUGGUACAUAGAACAACCUGCAGGUCAUUUCUUCAUGCAGAAGCUGCAGAGUCCCUUCAAAGCAAACAUCCCUUCUACAUAUGGCCACCAGCGCAGGCUUUCAAAACUGUCUUCUAACUCUCUCCCUGCUUCCUGUCUGCCUUAUGCCCUCAACCACAAUCAUCUACUUUGCAUACACAUCUGCCACUACUUGCCAGAUUACAAUCAGGUUUUCUUACCUAUAAAAUUAGAGAUAAUAUCUGUACCUAUUUUAUAAGUAUUGUCAGUGACUGUAUUAAUCUGUUCUAAUUUAUAAAGGAAAAUAUCUAAUUGACUCACAGUUCCACAUGCCUGGGGAGGCCUCAGAAUCAUGGCAGAAGGCAAAUGAGGAGCAAAGUCACAUCUUCCAUGGUGGCAGGCAAAAAAACUUGUGCAGGGGAGCUCCCAUUUAUAAAAUCAUGAAAUCUGGUGAGACUUAUUCACUACCAAGAGAACAGUAUGGGGGAAACCACCCCCAUGAUUCUAUUAACUCCACCUGGUCCCACCCUUGACACACGGGGAUUACUACAAUUCAGGGUGAGAUUUGGGUGGGGACACUGCCAAACAAUAUCAAUCACACUACUGUCAUUAUCUGGCACCCAGAGUGAAGCAUUUUGUAACAAUAUUAUUAAAUAUUACAAAAGUAGUUUCAUUAAUAACCAUAAAAUAAGGUGAAUAGUAAUAAUACCCAGAAAAAAAACACAGUGAUCAUUUUAUUUUAUUGAAUUUUGUAUAUAUAUAAUUAUGCCAGCAAAUUAAACAUAAUUAUAAUAGAGUAAUAAAUUAAUAUUUUUAAAUUACAUUGAUUUUUUGAUAAAAGGGAGAGUAUAUAUACCUAUGUAUUAGUCGGUCACAAAAAUGAAGAAUUAAGUAACAAUUAAAUAGAAUAAGGCAUUUUAAUUCUAAGGAUAUUAUUAAAAUGCAGUAAACUAUUUUCUGUACCAGGCACAAUAGCCCAUCAUGCAUUUCUCACUAUUUCAUUGUUUGAAAUUUUAAACUAAUAAAAACUUCAACUGACCAUACACAAUGACAGAAUAAAAGCCACUCAAAACUCACAGUAUCAGCAAUUAUAGGAUUUAAGCCAACAAAUUAUUUGUUUCAGGAACUACUAUUUUAUCAUUGACAUUUUAAAGAGUUACCAAUAUUGGUUACAUGGGGAUAACAAUAGUUUUACAAUUGUUUUUAAAUUUUUGACAGAAAAAUGCAACUUCUUAUUGCCUACGUAAAAGGGCAGACAGACAUCACUGGCUGGCCUGUGGUAUGUUGCUACUUGGAUGCUGGGGAGGUUAAACUGGAUUAACAUCUAAAGUAGUUAGAAGAGGGCCUGACAUACAGUAAAUGCUCCAUAAACUUUGUUAUUACUAUUAAAUAAUUAUGAUGCCUCAAAAUACUGUCUAUGCUAAAUAUAUUUUGAACACAAGGCCUAAUCUUAUUGGUAUAUUUAAGACCAUCUAUUGUCUGGUCACAUUCUAACUCCUAGUUAUUUAUUUCACUUAAAUGAGUGAAGAAAAUCCCCCAGUAACACUGAAAUUUUUAUUCUUAAUCAAAUGUAUCAUUCAUUCACUGCCAGGUCUCCUCUUAUUUUCUUGCUGGCAAGCCUUGGUUCCCCUUUUAUUUCCUGAGGACAACUUCAUUCUUCAUUCCUCUGAUUCCUGCUCACUUUUAUCAACUUUACUGCUCAGAUAGAAGAUUCAUCAUCCAUCCGUCCAUCCAUCCAUCCAUCCAUCCAUCCAUCAGUCCAUCAGUCCAUUAGUUUUCUCAUCUACUAUCAGAAUGCUUGCAAUGCUCAUAGCAAUAUUCUGGAAGAAAAGCAUGAACAAAAACGUGAUUACUAUCUCAAUCAGCAAGAGUCUGCUGGGGAAUAUAGAGAAGUGGCAAUUACAAUUCGCUAAUUUUAGUGCUAUCUUUAGAUAUAAGAAUGGAGUGCAAUGGGAAGAAUACUUGGGAGGGUAAUUUAAAGUUUGGGAGUUCACAGAAGGCUUCUUAAAGGGUAUCAGAGGUACCUAACCUGAAAUCUGAAAUCUGCCCCAGCAGAAAGGGGUUAAUAAAUGGGAAGAGUGGGGAGAGUGUCCCAGAAUUAUCAGGAGCAUGAAUUAUAGGUUGGGGGAAAAAUAUACAGAGAGAACUAAAAAGAGUCUUGUGUUUUGUAGGACAGAGAAGAAACGUGAGAAUGGUGAACAAACUCUGGAGUGGUAAUCUGAGGCCAUAUACAAAGCUCUGUCAAUCCUAUGUUCAGGAGAGUUUGGGUAUAGGCUGUGAGCAAGAAGAGGCCACUGAAGGUUGUUUUUUUUGUUGUUUUUUUUUUUGUUUUUUUUUUUGAGAUGGAGUCUCACUCUGUCACCCAGGCUGGAGUGCAGUGGCGCGAUUUCGGCUCACUGCAACCUCCACCUCCCGGGCUCAAGCGAUUCUCCUGCCUCAGCCUCCUGAGUACCUGGGAUUAUAGGUGCACACCACCAUGGCUGGCUAAUUUUUGUAUUUUUAGUUGAGUUGGGGUUUCACCAUGUUGGUCAGGCUGGUCUCAAACUCCUGACCUCAUGAUCCACUUGCCCCAGCCUCCCAAAGUGCUGGGAUUAUAGGGGACCGCACCCAGCCCCACUGAAGGGUUUUAAGUGGAGAAGUUAUUUGAUUUACAGUUUUAAAUAUGACUCUGUUAGUAGAAUAUAGAUUAAAGCAGGAAAAUACUCAUGAAGAAAGACUACUUUGGUUGUUGUAAGGAUCUUAUCAUGAGAUGAUGGUGACUCCUUUAAAAUGGGACAGUGGAAAUGUACUUUAAGGAUUUAGAAGUACAAUGUACAGUAACUAGUGAUUGGAUAUUGGUAGCUAAGGACAGGAAGGGAUAAAGGAUGGUUUCUGGAUUGACUUCCCUGAUGGACAGUAACACCAAUUACUGAGAAGGAGGAGAUCUGAAGAGAUGAUGCUGGUCACCAGGAUUGGUCGUAUUGCUGGUAGCAGGUUUUGAAGAAGGAUGAUGAGCUCCAUUUUGCUUUUGUUCAGUGUGAGAGGUCUAUGGAACAUGAAGUUGGAAGUGCCAAGGGAACUUCAUUUGGAAUUCAUUCAUUAAGAGACUAGAGUGAGAAUAAGCUGUCAAAAACCGUGUAAAGGGUGUGAGGAGAAUCUGGCUGAGUACAGAGCUCUGAGUCAUGCCAGAGUUACAGGAAUGGCAAGCGAAGAGAAGCCAGCAAAAUAAACUGGUUAGUGGACAAAGAGGUGCAAGGAAAUCUUGAGAAAAAUGAUGUUGGGACAACUAUUUUUGACAUUUAACAUUCAUUAGAAUUCUGUAUACAUUUAUUCAUUUUCUUGACUAGAAUUCCAUCUUUUGAGGACAGGAAGCAUGCUUUUGUAUGCCUAGUAUAUAUCAUAGUACCCAACACACCUUAGGUUCUCAGUACAUGUAAACUGAUGGACAAAGAUACCUAUAGUGCCCCAAAAUAGAGAUAAGUUUUCAGUCUGUUAUUUUUCUGAAACAGCUAAACAUAUAAGUGAUCAGGACUGGUGAAUUUAGAUAGAGCUAGUGUUGUCUGCUGGAGAGAGUAUGUGAGCAUGUUAUUCCUCAUUGUGAUAGUUUACACUAAUCUGAAUGAUCUAAACGUGAGUAACCCUGGCUUUUGGUUAAAAGCCCUAAAAUAGAUGGCAAGUUGCAAUUGUGCAGAAGAAAAGCAGUCCGUGAAAGAAAUAGUGUCAGUCAUAAUAAGCCAGUGUAGAUUCCAAGAAGUUCUGAUCACAUUAAAGAAAACAUGUCAAAUGCAUCGGAAACCAUGGACCGCAGGGAAAAAGUUGUAAUAAGAAUCUUGCAAGAAAGAGCCUGUCCAAUCAGUGAAGGCAGGAGGUAUGUGCCAGGAUAGAAUGAUUUAUGUGGAAAUUUUGAAAACCUAAUACACACCCUAUUUAAAUUAGUGGAUCAUGGGAAUAAUAUGUGGUUACUAGGUCCAAAGUCAAAAGGAUUGAUUUCCUGUUCUCAAUAGACUAUCAAGUAGGUAGUGAGGAAAUGAGACUAUUCCUCCCAGAAAAAGGAGUGGAUAGGACAGAAUUUCUCAUAAAAGUGAAAUGUGCUCAGAGAUAAGUAGAUUUGAUACCUAAUUUAUAGGCAGUUGAAUGUAAUUGAAAGAGGACAUGUUUUGGUUUUGAAGUCCUCAUAACCUCAGUUCAAAUCCUAGUGUAGCUAAAUACAAGUCAUAUGGCCUUGAGUCAGUUAUUUAAACUCUUGGAAUCUCAGUUUUCUUAUUUGUAAAAUUGGCAUAACCUUUUCUAACUUAUGUUUUUCUGAGGAUUAAUGAUGAAAUGCAUAUGAAAUAUCUAGAGUAGUACCAGGGUAUUAGUGUUCAAAAAAACCUGAUUUUUCUUAAUUGUGACUGUAACUUUCCAAAAGGUAUCCAGUAAUAUCAGACUCAUGUGAGGGCAGCUAACUCUGGUUUGAGAUUAUUCUUGUUAUUACGCAGUUUUGAAAGGUGUAUGUUUCCAAAUUAUUUUUUAAGUCAUUCAACUUUGUAAUUUGUUUCCAUUAUGUAGAUGAGGGUUAAAGCAAUUGUUAUUGCCAAAAUAUAGGAUUACAGGACUUACAAAGUCUUGUAAUCACAUAUUAAAAUUAAAACACACAGACAUACACACAAUUGCAAGAAAAUAACUUUAAAAAUAUUUAUUUCUGAUCAAAAUAAAUGUUAACUUGUGAUAAGGUGUUAGCACAAGUGCUAAUAACUUGUGCAUCAUUCCUUCUGCAAAACCUGCUCCCAGCAAUACGACCAAUCGUAAUGACUGGUGUCAUCUCUUCUGGUCUCAACCCACUUAGUAACUGGUGUUACUGUCUAUCUUGGGGGCCAGUCCAGAAACUGUCCUUGACCCCUGCCUGUCCUUAGCUACCAAUAUCCAAUCACUAGGUACUGUCAACUGUACUCUUAAAUCCUUAGAAUCCAUUCCCAUUACCCCAUUUUAGAGGAGUCACCAUCAUCUCAUGAUAAGAUUCCUACAGCCAAAGUAGUUUCCUUUGCUGAAUAUUUUCCCUCUGUAAUAUUUAAUUUAUUCUACUAACAGAGUAAUAUUUAAAACUAUAAAUCAAAUCACUUCUCCACUUAAAACCCUUCAGUGGCUUCUCAUUGCCCUCAGCCUAUAUCUAAAUUCCAGUCCUAUCUAAGCAAAAGCUUUUCCCGCAAAUGUAUCCAAAGUGAAAAGUUAAGAUUUUAUAUUAUUUCAACAACAUAAUGGAGGGUCAGGAGUUAUAAGGAAAGUCACAGGAAAUCAAAAGUUGCCCCCAUUUUUUUUUCACCUUACCUACAGAAAGUGAGAGAACUCAGGAAUCUCCAAAAUAGUAAACUAAGCUUUAACAGCAAGAGAAUCCAGGGGACUUAGUGAUAGUAAACUACACAUCAUUAUUGCCUACAUCAUGAUAUAAUUAAGGUACUUUUAGAAAAUAUAUAAAUAAAGCAUAGAAAUAACUAUAUGAUUAAUCUUUCCUAUAAUUAUUAAAAUAGAAUGAGAAUACAUAGCAAGAAGGUCAUGCAUUUUUAUUAUGAGUGAUAAAGUGAAUUGAGUAGGCUUUCCACAAAUAUUAUUUGAAUUUGGUUUUGAUAAAACUUCAAAAUCACCACCAACCAUUUAAGAUGUGAUACUAUAAGUUGCUAAACUAACAUAAUUUUCUUGUUUUUGGAAAAUGAGAUUUUAAAAUAUUCAGAUUGCUUUAUCAAAGUGUGAUGUUAUUUAUAUCUGGCCACAAAUAAAAGAAAACGUGUAUUUCAACUAGAGUUUUUAAGCUUGAUUUGCAAUGCUGAGUAUGGAUGCCACAUCUCAAGUGAACACAGUAUGUCUAUUAUAAAGGAUCUAAAGACAGUCAUGGAAUUUUGAAGACAGAAAGGAGAUUAGAGGCUAGAAACAAAAAGAAAUGAUAGUCAAAAUGGAAGAGGAAUAUAAAUCAUAAUAUUCAUGGAGAGUUGUGGUUGAUUAGGAUCAGAAGUAAGAUUGCUAAUAUUUAACAACUGGUAUAGCACCAAACUGGGUGCCAGUCUUACUAUGGAAGCUAAGUCUUGGAAAGUCAGUAUAUUUUCUAGAAGAGUCUGAGAAUCUAUUUCCCAGUGAAGGGCUGAGAUGACUGGGAUGGCUAAAGGUAUAGGAAUAUUAUAACAAAUACUGUGUACUGGUUAACUGUCAACUUUGGAUAUUCCUUACUAAAUUUUCAUUUGAAGAAAGCCAGAGUGUUGAGGACCCAGCCUCAGGUAUGUAGGGAGUUUCACACUAUCAGCAUUUCAGUCAAAACCAUUCAACAGGUCUCUAGGAAGUUCCAAACUUUUCCAUAUCUUCCUGUCUUCUGAGCCCUCUAAGUCUCUAGGAAGUUUCAAACUUUCCUACAUUUGCCCAUCUUCUUCUGAGCCCUCCAAACUGUUACAAGCUCUGCUUGUUACCCAUUUCCAAAGUCACUUUCAUAUUUUUGGCUAUCUUUACAGCAGCGCCCCACUCUCUGCAGUACUGAUUUCCUGUAUUAGUCCAUUUUCAUGCUGCUAUGAAGAAAUUCCUGAGACUAAGUAAUUUAUAAAGAAAAGAGGUUUAAUUGACUCACAGUUUCACAUGGCUAGGGAGGCCUCAGAAAAUUUACAAUUAUGGUGGAAGGCAAAAUAGGUGUGUCUUACAUGAUGGCAGGUGAGAGAAUUGAGAGCAAGAGAAGGGGGAAGUCCCUUGUAAAACCAUUAGCCCUUGUAAGAACUCACUCACUUAUCAUGAGAACAGUAUGGGGGAAACUGCUCCCAUGAUUUGAUUAUCUCCAACUUGUCCUGCUUUGACACGUGGGGAUUAUUACAAUUCAAGAUGAGAUUUGGGUGGGGGACACAGAGCCAAACCAUAUCAGGGACAUUGUUGAAAGGACAUGAUCUCUUUCUAGUUUCUCACCUUAUUCGGUCAGAUAUAGCAGGACAAUGAAUUCCAGUAGAAUCAGCAGGAUUUCUGAAACUUCUUUAUAUCACUUAAAAAGUUGCUAACUCAUUUGUACGUAUUGCGUAUGGUGUGAAAUAGGGACUUUUCCUUUUUUUUUUUCAUCCUAGACAGAUAAUGCAGCAUUCUAGCACUAUUUAUUAAAUACAUCAUUAUUUCCUCAUUGAAUUGAAAUGGCAGUAAUUGGUCUUUGUGACGUUCACGUAUAUAUUUCAAUCUGCCCUUAUAUUGUCUUCUUUUCUACUGAUGUAUUUGUCCUUUCUGUACCAAUUGAUUAAAAUAGCUUUAGGGUAAGUUAUCUUAUUUAGCAUUAGCUCCCUCACAACUUUUUUCAUUCAUACUUCUAUUGGCCAGUCUCAUACCUGAAGUAUUUUAAAUGAGUUUACAAUUAUUUCACUUACCUUCAGAAAAAAAAAAGGAACAAAAACUCUUAAUGACUGGUAACAUGCAAAUUUGAUGUAGAAUUAUUAUUUUUUAAAAUUUAUAUAUUUCUAUUUAUUUUUAUUAAUUUAUUAUUUACACAUUAUUUCACUUAUCUUUACUGUAUUAUAUUGAAUGUUGUUUUAUUCCUGUGUAUCUACCACUUAUAUAAUAAAAUUAAUAAUCAUUUAAACAUAAUUUAAAUACAUAUGGAGACGUAUUUUCAAUUGGGAAGUGAAUGUAAAAGUCAGAUUUACUAAGAUUUGAAACCUGACUCUUCCAUGCCCUAGAUGUACAGUAGUCUUUUGUAAGCUGAUUCACCUCACGGUUUUAAUGCAGCAGUCAAUUCUUUAGAAAACUUCUUUGUUAAGUUCCUAGAUUUUAUAAAGUCAUAUCAUUGCAUUCUUAGAAUAGUAGCAUAAUUGGGACAACGUAAAGUUUCUCUUAGUUGACUAAAAUGAUAUUUUUUGAAGAAAAUUUCUUUAACAAUUUUUGAGAUAACCUAAAAUCUAUGCUGAGUUUCAUCCAGGUCCUCAGAGAAGUAAGUAACUGGAUUGUGUUGAUUUUGCUUUGGGGGAACACUAUUAAUGGAAUUGGACUUUGGCCUUUGGCUUUUUGUUUACAUUGUAGGAACGCUAUAAUAAAUGAAGUGAGGACAUCGCUGAUGUAUCUACUGUAGUGAUAUUGGCAAGUGCCUUGUUUACAUUUUCCUCUCUGGUGUCAAUACCAGCAAUACCUCGGGCCCUCCUGAAUUAUCAGUGGCAUUUUUGUGUAAGGGAUUUAUUUUCAAUAUUGCCAUUGGCUAGUUUCUCUUUGCAAAGGCUAGUAGAAUGCUCAAAAAUAAAAUUUUGAGUUUACUUCUCUUAUUUGGAAAGCAAAUUUUGUAUAUGAAUCUGAAUCUUUGUUUAUUUUACUUCUCUACAUUGUUGCCCUUUGCUUGGAAUUUCUUGGUCCCUUUUUAUCUUCUGUGACUUUUUUUAAGCCACCUAAAAUCAAUUUUGAAUUACAGAAAGGGCAAAAGUAAAUACACAAUUAUAUAAUAAAUGAAACAAUCUUUCUUAGCAUCAGUUGCUUCAAUUAAGACAUCCCUUCUCCUCUGUUUAUUGAAGCCUCUGCAUCAUUAGCAUCUCUGCUUAUUGAAGCUUUUCUUGAUCACUUUCAAAGACAGCACCUGCCCUUGCAACCUCUAUCCAUCUUUCUCACUUUAUUUUUCUCUACUGGACUCACCACUAUCUUGCUUGCUAAAUAUAUAUUUUACUUAUUAUUUUUGUUACUAUUUAUUUUUAUCUCCUUCAACUACAAUGUGGUUUCAUAUUGACUUCUUUAUCUUCAGAGCGGCUGGCACAAAUAGGUGCUCGAGUAAAAUUUAAUGAAUAUCUGCUUCAAAGGUGUUCCAAACAUAGUAAUAAUAUACUUUUGAGACAGUGUGUGACUCUAUUCAGGCUGAAUCUCAAUGGCUUGAUCAAGGCUCACUGCAGCCUCAGCUUCCUGAGCUCCAGGGAUUCUCCUGCCUCAGCCUCCCAAGUAGCUGGGACUACAGGCACGCACCACCACACCAGGCUAGCUUUUUAUUUUUGGAGACAUGGGGUCUCCUCAUGUUGCCCAGGCUGGUCUUGAACUCCUGGGCUCAAGUGAUCCUCUUGCCUUGGCCUCCCAAAGUGCUGGAACACUGUGCCUGGCCCAUAGGACAUAUUAUGAGAUCACUUGUACAGUGCCCAGUACAUUGACCUUCCUUCUUCACAUUUAAAGCAGGCUCAGUCUGAGGGACUCUGGCUGUAACCUACUGUGAUGGGCAUCCCCAAACUCAGGGCUCAGUGGUUGUUUUUCCUAUUUCAACCCAGAUGACAGACAGGGAGGGCAAUUUCUAUUGAAUAUUCAAAGAUGAAAUGUUUUAGAAUAAUAAUCAAACAUAUGUAUUUUAGCUUUGUGAUGGCAGGAAACAACUUUGGGUUACCCUUUCAUAACUACUUUAUAGCUGUGAGUAGCACAAAGCUGAAGAACAAUACCUAUUUGUUGGUAAUGAAUGGAUAAUGAUGAUUAGCAGUAGUUGGCUGGGCCUGGUGGCUCACGCCUGUAAUACCAGCACUUUGGAAGGCUGAGGCAGGCGGAUCAUGAGGUCAGAUCAAGACCAUCCUGACUAACAUGGUGAAACCCCAUGUCUACUAAAAAUAUAAAAAUUAGCUGGGUGUGGUGGCAUGUGCCUGUAAUUCUAGCUACUCAGGAGACUGAGGCAGGAGAGUCACUUGAACCUGGGAGACGGAGAUUGCAGUGAGCCGAGAUUGCGCCACUGCACUGCAGUCUGGCGACAGAGCGAGACUCCGUCUCAAACAAAACAAAACAAAACAAAACAAAACAAACAAACAAAAUAUAUAUAUAUGUUUCUUAAUGGGUUGUUAUCACCCUUAAAAUAUUUUAACUAAUACUUACUUUAAUUCCUCGUAUAAUAAUGUAAGUUGAAUAUUUUUACCAAUCCCCUCAUUGUAAUCCCCAUUUUACAUAUGAGAAAAUGAAGGCUAAGAUAAAUUAAAUAAUAAUUUUUAUAAACUAACACUGGUAAUAAGGACAGAACUUGGACUUGAAACAAAAGGUUUCUGAUUCUAGAACCAUAUGCUUAAAUUUCAGCAUCAUUAUUCUUGACAUGACCUCAAUUCCUUUUUUAUGCCAGUUACAUUUCUUUUGCGUUUCCUCCUAAUUUCCUGCAAUCUUCAGUAAAAGUUUUAACAGGUAAAAGUGUAAAUAGCCCUUUUGAAGAUAUUAAAGCCAAGUUCUAGAGCUGCAAGACUUUCUUUUCCAAGAAAAAAAUAGUUGUAAUAAAAAUGUCUUUUGAGCCCCUUAGAUUGUCUGAUAAGCCCCAUAUAAUGCCUGAGCUAAUCUUUUCUGAAAGCUCUUAGGGCAAAUUGCUGUUAACACUCAGGUCUGACAGUUUAAUGCUAUUACACCACAAAAUAUAUGUCCUUUCCCAAAAUAAACAUGUUUUAUAAUAGUAAUACAAAUGUCGUCAAGGGGCAAGGUUAUCGGGAGAUAAUUAGACUCCAGAGAGAUUACAGGCUCUUAGAUCAUGAGAGUAAUAUAGCGAGCCUGCCUUAUUAAAUAAUUGUAAGAAAGUCAAAGUCAACUAUAAAUACACACAUUUCCCUGUAAUUACUUUAAAAAGUACAAACCCAAGUUGCAUGCCAAUGUGCUGAGAUGAUAAGCCCUCUCUCUCCAUUACCUUAAAAUGUCUAAAUAUAACCUAGAAAAUCAACCUUCAAUUUGAAUUUUAAAUAAGAAUGAAAAACGAAAGACACCUCCUUUUUCUUUUGCUAAUAUUUUUAGGUUAGCUGUUUUCAGGACAUUUUUAAAACCUGGCAAAUGAAUGGCUGGGUUUCAGGAAAUAAUCCACCAUCCAAGUUCAUACUCCAUUAAAAAAAAAAAGCUAACUACAUGCAAUUCUUCUGCAUGUAGCUCUAUUUAUUUACACCUAAUAUACCCCUGUCCUGAAAGAUCAUCGUCUCUCUAGAUAUUAAAUGUGCAAAUAGAAUUUAACAUUUUCUUCCAAAAUAGUUUAUUAUAACCUUUGUGAUGUCUUCUCUUACUACCACUACCUACCCCAUCUCCUCAAUAUUCAGACAUUUAAAUAUUUCUUUUUUAGCAUUUCAAUAGCAUCUUAUGAUAAGUUCUAUUAACAAUUAUCUGAUUACAUUAUAUUGUCCAUGAGCAGAUUUUUGUUCAUAUUAGAUUAAGAAAAAAUGCAUACAUUUCCAGCUCCUGCUGUAGUGCUUACCACAAUGCAUUUGCUCAAUAAACAUUUACUGAAUAAAUAAAUGAAGAAAAAAAGAAGGUGAGGUUGUCCAAAGCAGAUUAAUAAAAUCAACCAUGCUGUGCAUGAGAAAUUAUUUUCCAUUGAUGACAAGUUUUUUGUUCACUGCUUCUACUCUUAGUCCCAGAGUGAGGCUAUUAGCUCUCUUCUUCUAGGAGAAGAUAUAUAUUCAAGUGGAAGAUUUGCAACCUUGAGAGUCACAUUCCUAUAUAAGCAGCUCAAAUUUACAUAUAAGCUCCCUGAAAGACCUGAAGUGUUGUAUUUGGUCCUGCAUCCCCAACACCUAGAACAUUGGCACAAGCUGGUUAAUGCCUGAUUCCAAACCUGCAGGAAUUCAUUUUCAUCUUUUUCUCUUAAAAGUUUUCUAAAGUUUUUUAGGGUAUUACAAAUAAUUAGUGAUAUAGCUGAAAUUUAGAUAAUAAGAUUUUAUGUGUCCAUGUAUGCGCAUUCUCCCUGAUAUUAUUUCCAGUUGGCAGUCAGCCCCAUUUAAUACAAUAAUCCUGUAUUAGGUUUCUCCAGAGGGAAAGAACUAAUAGGAUAUAUGUAUAUAUGAAAGGGAGUUUACUAGGGAGAAAUGGCUCACAGGAUCACAAGGCAAAGUCCCCUGAUAGGCUGCCUGCAAGCUGGGGAAGAAAAAAGUCAAAUUCUGUUUGGCAAGUUUAAUAUAGGAAGAGAGGAUGAUCUUUCAGGACAAGGAUAUGUUAGGUAUAAAUGUAUAGAGCUUUGUAUUAGAAGAAUUGCACGUAGUUAGCAUUUUAUUUUUUUAAUGCAGUAUGAACUUGGAUGGGUGGAGUAUUUCUUGGAAUCCAUCCAUUUAUUUGCAGGAUUUAAAAAUGUCCUGAAAACAGUGGCUCAGUCUGAUUCCAAAAGCUUUCAAAGUAGGGAAGCCAACAGCACAGACUUUGGUCUGUGGCAGAAGGCCCAAGAGCCACCAGCAAACCACUGGUGUAAGGCCAAGAGUCAAGUGGCUGAAGAACCUGUAGUCUGAUGUCCAAGGGCAGGAGAAACAGAAGGAGGCAUUUAGCAAGGGAGGAAAAUGAAAGAGAGAAGUCUCAGUAAGCCAGCUUAUCCCACCGUCUUCUCCUGCUUUGUUCUAGCCAUGCUGGCAGCCAAAUGGAUGGUGCCCAUCCACAUUGAGGGUGGGUCUUCCUCUCCCAGUCCACUGACAAAAACAUUAAUCUCCCCUGGCAACACCCUUCCAGACACACACAGGAACAAUACUAUACCAGCUAUCUAGGUAUUCCUCAUUCCAGUCAACUUAACACCUAAUAUUAACCAUCAUGCCACCCCAAAAUUGUUCCUUAUCUUUGCAUUUGAAAUUUUCUGGAAUCUUAAAAGAAAUAUGAAAUAUCUCCACCUCUUGGGGCAUUGAAAACAUUGUAUACAUUCAUGAUUCUGAAAUUCUGCCCUAACGAAUGAUCUGGUUAUUAUUUUUUACUGAUAAUACAGCAGCAACCUAACAGAAGUCAUUGAAUAUAAAGCCUUUUUAGGCUCAUGGUAUCCAUGAGCUGAGUCAACAGAGAAUACAAAAGUUAGACUUAUCCCAUUCUUUUCUACUACCAUAUAGUUUUUUUUUCUUUUUUUCUUUUCUUUUCUUUUUUUUUUAAAUUAUACUUUAAGUUCUAGGGUACAUGUGCACAACGUGCAGGUUUGUUACAUAUGUAUACAUGUGCCAUGUUGGUGUGCUGCACCCAUUAAAUCGUCAUUUACAUUAGGUAUAUCUCCUAAUGCUAUCCCUCCCCCCUCCCCCCACCCCACAACAGGCCCUGGUGUGUGAUGUUCCCCUUCCUGUGUCCAAGUGUUCUCAUUGUUCAAUUCCCACCUAUGAAUGAGAACAUGCAGUGUUUGGUUUUUUGUCCUUGUGAUAGUUUGCUGAGAAUGA